RNAcentral lists this ribosomal RNA (116 nucleotides) under Lepisosteus oculatus (spotted gar). Lineage: Eukaryota; Metazoa; Chordata; Actinopteri; Semionotiformes; Lepisosteidae. The record is from RNAcentral.
GCCAGCAGCCAUAUCACCCUACAACUCACACCUGGCAACCUACUGAAGCUCAGCAGGUGUGAGCCUGGUCAGUACCAGGGGAGACCUCCUGGGAAAAACUAAGGUUGCUGCUGGAA